Molecule: long non-coding RNA, 688 nt
Filed under: Anas platyrhynchos platyrhynchos (common mallard)
Lineage: Eukaryota; Metazoa; Chordata; Aves; Anseriformes; Anatidae
Description: lncRNA (ENSAPLG00000017947.1)
Source: RNAcentral
CUACAGUGGGAGAAUGUUUUCCCAUCUGUACAAAGACCUAGAGAAGUCCUGCAGGCACUAAUAAACCAUGGCUGCAGAAGGAUCCGUGCUAGCGAGGUCCUCCAGGGAGACAGGCAGGGAGCAGAGCUGAGUUCCCCAGCCUGACUCUUUUAUUUUCCUUUUCGUUCUUCAAGUUCUUUACAAGGAACCAGCUUUUGACCAGUGAGAGAGGGGAAACAUCCCCAUGGUAUAAGGAAGAUUCUCAAGAUUUUUCAACAGAAGAUAAAGGAAAAAAGAGAUGGUGGGAAGCUGCGUCACACUGGGGAGGCUGAUGGAGAUCACUGGAUGAGCAGCUACUGAAAGGUGUGCCAGGACAGGAAACUGCAUUUGUUUUCCGCUGAGGGAGAAGCCUUUGAUGCACAGAGGUUGAUCAGACUGGGGAGUUUCUGCCAUUUCUGUGACGAGGCUGUGGGCACCUCUUGGCUGGCAGCUCCUGUACCGGUUGCUGCUGGGCACAGCGGGUGUCUGGAGAGGGCCUGGUGUAGCAACGAGGAGCACGUCCUGCUGCAUGUCCAUGGAAAUCUCUCUGAAGUUGAACCUAAUUUGGGUGAGUCGGGAUCAUCUUUCUGUCUCAGCUUCAUUUACGAAACAGCUGGGCUGCAGGGAGGUAAAUGUGGCAAAUGGAAACCUCAACUGCCCCAGCUGGAUU